This 494-nucleotide ribosomal RNA is filed under the name uncultured bacterium. RNAcentral's name for it is "partial 16S ribosomal RNA". It matches the Rfam family "Bacterial small subunit ribosomal RNA", at positions 28 to 507 of the family's 1533-position model. The record is from RNAcentral.
GACGAACGCUGGCGGCACGCCUAACACAUGCAAGUCGAACGGAAACUUCUGCUUUCCUUUGUGGAUUGUGGGUAACCCAGUGGAGACUGCGUGAAGAAUCCGAAUAUGAUCUGGCACCGACUUCGAAAAACGCCUAAGAACCUCGGUCUAAUUACUGAUAGGCCUUGGAGGUGCUGGCGUUGGUUGAGCACGUUGGUAUGGUGGAAGGCUAUGAGCGCGACGCCGAUUAGCUGGUGGGUGGGGUAGUGGCGGACCAAGGCGGCGGAGGGUAGCCUGCGUGAGAGGGUGGACGGCGACAUGGGGACUGAGAGACGGCCCAGACACCUACGGGAGGCAGCAGUGGGGAAGAUUGCACAAUGGGCGGAAGCCUGAUGCAGCGACGCCGCGUGGGGGAUGGCGGCCUUCGGGUUGUAAACUCCUUUCGACCGCGAGGAAGCCACCUGGUUGGAAGGGUGGUGACGGUAGUGGUAGAAGAAGCACCGGCUAACUACGUG